AUACGUAGGGGGCGAGCGUUGUCCGGAAUGAUUGGGCGUAAAGGGCGCGUAGGCGGCCCGGUAAGUCUGGAGUGAAAGUCCUGUUUUUAAGAUGGGAAUUGCUUUGGAUACUGUCGGGCUUGAGUGCAGGAGAGGUAAGUGGAAUUCCCAGUGUAGCGGUGAAAUGCGUAGAGAUUGGGAGGAACACCAGUGGCGAAGGCGACUUACUGGACUGUAACUGACGCUGAGGCGCGAAAGUGUGGGGAGCAAACAGGAUUAGAUACCCUGGUAGUCCACACUGUAAACGAUGAAUGCUAGGUGUAGGGGGUAUCGACUCCCUCUGUGCCGCAGUUAACACAAUAAGUAUUCCGCCUGGGGAGUACGGCCGCAAGGCUAAAACUCAAAGGAAUUGGCGGGG
Molecule: ribosomal RNA, 397 nt
Filed under: uncultured bacterium
Lineage: Bacteria
Description: partial 16S ribosomal RNA
Rfam family: Bacterial small subunit ribosomal RNA
Source: RNAcentral